CGUUCCCGGGCCUUGUACACACCGCCCGUCACACCACGAAAGUGGGCAACACCCGAAGCCGGUGGCCCAACCCUUGUGGAGGGAGCCGUCGAAGGUGGGGCCUCGCGAUUGGGGUG
RNAcentral lists this ribosomal RNA (116 nucleotides) under uncultured bacterium. RNAcentral's name for it is "partial 16S ribosomal RNA". It matches the Rfam family "Bacterial small subunit ribosomal RNA", at positions 1369 to 1482 of the family's 1533-position model. The record is from RNAcentral.